This 837-nucleotide long non-coding RNA is filed under the name Parus major (Great Tit). RNAcentral's name for it is "lncRNA (ENSPMJG00000004509.1)". The record is from RNAcentral. Lineage: Eukaryota; Metazoa; Chordata; Aves; Passeriformes; Paridae.
AUGCAGCUCCCUCCUCCGUGGAGCGAUUUCAGGCCGUCGCUUUGUGCUCAGCGUCUGUCGCUGCCCCCGCUGACCUACAAAAGCCCAGUGCUGAUAUCCCAAGGAUGGAAAAUCCAGCUGCUCUCACCCUCUGGAGAUCCAGGAGAGGCUCUGGAAAUCCACCCUGAGCCUUUGAUCCCAUCCUUCCUCCCCUUCUGGCACUCGGGGAAAGGGCUGCUGGAGGGGGAGGAACUGUGGAGGAGGAGGCAGAGAAGGGAAAUGGGGAUGGAAGGAACGAGGCUCAAGGAUGAAAUCCUGGAAUGGUUUGGUUGGAAAAGUCCUCUGAGAUCAUGGAGGCCAAACAUUCCCAGCACUGCCCCUGUCCCCAGUCACAUCCACGGGGAUUUAAAUCCCUCCAGGGAUGGGGAUUGCUCCACCUGAGCACCCUUUCCUGAAGGAAUUGUCCCAGAAUCCAUCCAGACAUUAAUUAAAGUGAGGGUUUCAGGAAAAAUGAUGAGUUUUGCUCUAAAAAGAGCUCAAAGCUUCCAGGGAGCUCCGUUUGUGCCAUGGAGGAGCUGUGGAUUAAUUGGAUUAAAGGCUUGGAGAGACCUGGAACAGCAGCUCUGGGCUGUGGAACAGGGAAAAGCUCUGGGAAUUCAUGGCAGGUCUGGGCACUUGAUAGAAAAUCAUGGAAUUGUUUAGGNUUCGGGAAUUCCAGCCAGGAAUUCCUGAUAUCCCAUCCCUGGCUGCCCUCUGGAAGCGGGAGCCAUUCCCUGUGUCCUGUCCCUCAUUCCCAGUCAGUUCACGGGCUCCAGGAUGAGAACACACCGCGCUCUAAUCGCAUUUUGCAUCCCAAUU